ACAACUGUCAUAUUCCUGACUUGGUUCAGGCAUUUCCUUAUGUAGAAAAUGGUGAAGUAAACCUGGUUUUAUAGCUAGCUUAACCUCUCACUUGUAUGACAGUCGCAUAAAAUUCCAUUAUAUUGACAACAAUGUGUGAACAAAACAAACAGACAUGAUAGAUAAAAUAUUUAAAUGUAAAAAAUAGGGGUACAGCAGUCAACAUUGUGUUAUAAUCUUAAUCACUAUAAAAAAAAAGACAAAUAUGUCAACAAAGAAAAAUAAAAUGGCAUAUAGACCAAAGCGCAUAGGCAAAAAUAUACAAGAAUACAAAAAUGACCAUAGCACAAUAACACAAUGGCGGGAUGUUUAAGUACUGAGCCACACCAAAAGAUCCCAAAAGGGUAUUACAAAAAAGGGCUAAACAGUAAAAGUAAUUUACGAAGACAAAAAAAGGAACACUACAACACGUAAUUAGGAUGAUAAACAAAACGUCAGUGACUAAAAUUUUUACACACUUCAAGACCAUCAUGUAUUAUUUGUGCAGUUGAAUAUGUAUCAACAAGGUCUUGGGAUCUUCUGAAGAACUUGAGCAAAAGACUCAUCAGUGACGAUCGAAAAAAAAUGUUAAAAAGGCAAAUCAAGCAGAAAGUUGUAUAGCAUUGCGCUAAAACACCACCAAACAACAUAUGGUGCAGAUAGCCUGACUUGAAAGAGGCCAAACAUUUGCUUGGUAGUAGGUUUUCAAAUGUUUUUUGACAUUUGAUAUGUUCUCAACUAUUUGAAAAUAUAAUAUAACCAAACAAUUAUCACUGAUCUGUUUGGAUUUAAAAUCCUUUUUUCUGAUGGAUGAAAGAUAAGUUCAUUUGACAGAACAGAUGCGUUAUGUCAAAAACAUUCGUUGUGAAAUACCAUGUUAUGUUAGCAACAACUAUAUUUACAUAAUAAGAGCAUAUCGUUGCAUUUUUGUUCAAAACUAUAUUUAUGAAGAGGCAUUUUUAUUUACAAAUGUACAAAUAAAAGUAGCUGUUUAAUAAACACAAUAUACAACAAGUUAAUGUCAAAAAUA
This 1048-nucleotide long non-coding RNA is filed under the name Mytilus galloprovincialis (Mediterranean mussel). Lineage: Eukaryota; Metazoa; Mollusca; Bivalvia; Mytilida; Mytilidae. The record is from RNAcentral.